UUUAUAUUGAGAGUUUGAUCCUGGCUCAGGAUGAACGCUGGCGGUGUGGAUAAGGCAUGCAAGUCGAAAGGGUUUAGACCCUUGGCAAACGGGCUAGUAACACGUGGGAAUCUACCCUGAAGUCGUGAAUAACCAUUUGAAAAGAUGGAUAAUACACGAUUAGCUCUCCGGAGUAAAGAUUU
This 182-nucleotide ribosomal RNA is filed under the name Candidatus Moraniibacteriota bacterium. RNAcentral's name for it is "Candidatus Moranbacteria bacterium partial 16S ribosomal RNA". It matches the Rfam family "Bacterial small subunit ribosomal RNA", at positions 1 to 210 of the family's 1533-position model. Lineage: Bacteria; Candidatus Moraniibacteriota. The record is from RNAcentral.